GAUGAACGCUGGCGGCGUGCCUAAUACAUGCAAGUCGAGCGAACGGACGAGAAGCUUGCUUCUCUGAUGUUAGCGGCGGACGGGUGAGUAACACGUGGUUAACCUACCUAUAAGACUGGGAUAACUUCGGGAAACCGUAGCUAAUACCGGAUAAUAUUUUGAACCGCAUGGUUCAAAAGUGAAAGACGGUCUUGCUGUCACUUAUAGAUGGAUCCGCGCUGCAUUAGCUAGUUGGUAAGGUAACGGCUUACCAAGGCAACGAUGCAUAGCCGACCUGAGAGGGUGAUCGGCCACACUGGAGCGGGGCCACGGUCCAGACUCCUACGGGAGGCAGCAGAAGGGAAUCUUCCGCAAUAGGCGAAAGCCUGACGGAGCAACGCCGCGUGAGUGAUGAAGGUCUUCGGAUCGUAAAACUCUGUUAUUAGGGAAGAACAUAUGUGUAAGUAACUGUGCACAUCUUGACGGUACCUAAUCAGAAAGCCACGGCUAACUACGUG
This 497-nucleotide ribosomal RNA is filed under the name uncultured bacterium. RNAcentral describes it as "partial 16S ribosomal RNA". It matches the Rfam family "Bacterial small subunit ribosomal RNA", at positions 28 to 507 of the family's 1533-position model. The record is from RNAcentral.